GGGCGGCUAGCUCAGCGGGAGAGCACUGCCUUCACACGGCAGGGGUCGCUGGUUCGAUCCCAGCGCCGCCCA
Molecule: transfer RNA, 72 nt
Filed under: Halorhodospira halochloris
Lineage: Bacteria; Pseudomonadati; Pseudomonadota; Gammaproteobacteria; Chromatiales; Ectothiorhodospiraceae
Also listed under: 1 other name
Rfam family: tRNA
About the family: Transfer RNA (tRNA) molecules are approximately 80 nucleotides in length. Their secondary structure includes four short double-helical elements and three loops (D, anti-codon, and T loops). Further hydrogen bonds mediate the characteristic L-shaped molecular structure. tRNAs have two regions of fundamental functional importance: the anti-codon, which is responsible for specific mRNA codon recognition, and the 3' end, to which the tRNAs corresponding amino acid is attached (by aminoacyl-tRNA synthetases). tRNAs cope with the degeneracy of the genetic code in two manners: having more than one tRNA (with a specific anti-codon) for a particular amino acid; and 'wobble' base-pairing, i.e. permitting non-standard base-pairing at the 3rd anti-codon position.
Source: Rfam by way of RNAcentral